This 284-nucleotide long non-coding RNA is filed under the name Homo sapiens (human). RNAcentral's name for it is "HSALNT0176150". The record is from RNAcentral. Lineage: Eukaryota; Metazoa; Chordata; Mammalia; Primates; Hominidae.
CAGGCAUUUUAAAUUUGGGGCCCUUCAGUUUCCCUUCUGGACCAUGAAUAUCAAUAUCAGGAGUGUCAAUGUCCACUUUGGGUCCUGAGACAUCAAUGUCAGCUUUGGGCAAAUUAACAUCCACUUCUGGGCCCUCUCCUUUAAAUCCUGGCAUGCUGAAUUUGGGCAUUUUCACCUUGGGCAUCUUCAGGUGCCAGUCUGGGCCUUGAACAUCAACAUCUGGAGCAUUAAUGUCCACUUUGGGGCCCUUGAUGUCAACUUCAGGACCCUUGAGGUCACCUUCC